GGCUGGUUAGCUCAGUUGGUUAGAGCAUGGUGCUGGUAACACCAAGGUCCAGGGUUCAAUCCUUGUCCUGGCCAGCCA
Molecule: non-coding RNA, 78 nt
Organism: Cynocephalus volans (Philippine flying lemur)
Lineage: Eukaryota; Metazoa; Chordata; Mammalia; Dermoptera; Cynocephalidae
Source: the annotation of a RefSeq genome assembly